ACUGAACGCUGGCGGCAGGCCUAACACAUGCAAGUCGAGCGAGCGGCGGACGGGUGAGUAAUGCAUGGGGACAGCCCGAUAGAGGGGGAUAAAUAUUGGAAACGGGGGCUAAUAACGCAAACAAUCGGAUUACCCAUAUGGGAUUAGCUUGUAGGUGGGGUAAAGGAUCACCUAGGAGAAGAUCUCUAGCUGGUCUGAGAGGAUGUUCAGCCACACUGGUACUGGGAAACGGCCCAGACUCCUACGGAGGCAGCAGGGGGGAAUAUUGCAGAAUGGGCGAAAGCCUGAUGCAGCGAUGCCGCGUGUAUGAAGAAGGCCUUAGGGUUGUAAAGUACUUUCAGCGAGGAGGCGUUACCCGCAGAGUAAGCACCGGCUAACUCCGUGCAAGCGGCCGCGGUAAUUC
This 403-nucleotide ribosomal RNA is filed under the name uncultured bacterium. RNAcentral's name for it is "partial 16S ribosomal RNA". It matches the Rfam family "Bacterial small subunit ribosomal RNA", at positions 30 to 526 of the family's 1533-position model. The record is from RNAcentral.